Molecule: small nuclear RNA, 181 nt
Gene: U1
Rfam family: U1 spliceosomal RNA
About the family: U1 is a small nuclear RNA (snRNA) component of the spliceosome (involved in pre-mRNA splicing).
Source: Ensembl
AUACUUACCUGGCAAGGGAGAUACCAUGAUCAAGAAGGUGGUUCACCCAUAGCGAGGCUCAGCCAUUGCACUGAGGCUGUUGCUGACCCGUGCGAAUUCCCCAAAUGUGGGAAUCUCGAUUGCAUAAUUUCUGGUAGUGGGGACUCGCGCAUAAUUUCUGGUAGUGGGGACGCUCUCCCCU